AAAAAAGACACUUGUAGAGUAAAUAAAAGGAACGUAACUCGAGAAGAAAUAACGCAAGGCAUCGCAACGCAAAAAAAAAAAAUACACACACACAUAUGUAUAUACGUACAAGGCUGGACCAAUAGGUACAAGAAUCAAUCGUAAAGUUAUGUGACCGAUGCACAGCGAGCGCGCUAAAUUGACGAAUUAGAUCACAGAUGUACGACUUGGUUGCUGCGCCAUGCACGGGGCUCGAAAUAUUUACGCUCGUAAAACGUCCUAUGGCGACACAUGUCGCGCACGUGUUUACAAUAUCGGGAAAACGUUCGGAAAACGUUAGCUGGUGACGAACGGUGAGAGUUUCGCUAACGGCAAAAAAAAAAAAAAGGACUCGCCUCGCUGGUUGAAAUAAUAUUCCAAGAACGAAAAUCGAGCAGCCUUAAUCAGAAGAAAAUUCCCAUUACAUGACCUAACUCGGCGAGGAAUUAACCUUUUUAAAAUUUCUAAUUUUGCACAGACUCUGAAAAGGGAUUCCAUUGUAUUUAGCAUGCUGUAUUUAAUAAUUCAAUCAAAUUCGUCAAGAGUCGGAAGAGUAAUAAUGCAGUUUGAAUAGAAAUUAUUUCAUACCCUUCGCUGCAUUUCUCCAUACUCUUAAGCAAUUACAUCUAAUCCUAGGUUGUCUCUAGCAAGCUUCGAAAAGGAAAAAAGCUUGCGCAGCCAUCCAACAAUUGAAAAUUAACUUCGCAGAAGUGUACUUGAAAUUCACAA
Hylaeus anthracinus is the source of this 747-nucleotide long non-coding RNA. RefSeq lists it as uncharacterized. The record is from RefSeq and is a predicted model, not a curated record. The transcript has 3 exons. Lineage: Eukaryota; Metazoa; Arthropoda; Insecta; Hymenoptera; Colletidae.